GCUUAGCUGACCGAAAAAUGUGAGGAAUAGAAAAGAUUUCCGUCCAUUAUGGGGAUGCUGAUUUGGCAUUCAUAUGCUUUUGGCACAAAUUAGUGCAGUUGCUACCAUGUUCUUCUUGAACUGAUUUUGCCUUUUAUCUGAUUAUCAUUUAUCACUAUUACAGUUUAUUUGAUUUUGCCCCUCAUCUCUCUUAUACUUAAUAUUGAUGCUUUUGCAGUGCUUACACCACAUCACUAAAGGUUCAUUCAAGAUGGUUCAAGCUGUAUGUAUUCGUUCUUAUGGUACAAAUUAAAUUUUCUCCAAUAAACUGUUGAAAGUGCAUGUCUUUUAAAGGCUCAUCCGUAUUUCUACACUUGAUUAGGUGUCUCAAGUCUUAUAACCUCAUUGUUUGCUGUAUUUGCUUAAAUGGAAAAAACCCUGAAGAAAUUCGUGCUUUGUUCUUGAAGUUGGGCACUCUGUUCAACUCAAAAACUAAUGUCAUAUGGGAGUGUGUGCUCAUGCUCUCUGAGGAAUAUAGGAUUAUUGUGUUCUGUAGUUUUCCACCUGCAUUGUUUGUCAAUUAUUUGAAUAUAUCGAUGCUACAUUCAAUUGGUGGUGGUCAAUUAUCCUACUUGGGCAAGUUUCAAUUUUUUGAUAUUGAUUUUUCUUUCUAUUGCAGGUUCUAUAGGUGUUUCCUUAAAAGAGGGCGAUCUAGGGACCGAUGAUGUAUGUUCCGCAAGUGGUGUGAUUUUGUAGCAAUGAGUUUUGUAGGCAUACUGGACGUAUGUUCCCAGCUUCGGUUGUUAGCUUUAGUCACUUAUAGUUGUUUUAUAAUAUAAUAUUCUUUCGAGGCUUACAUUUUUUACCCUUCAAAAUCCUUACAUGCCAUUGUCACUAUAGAAAACACUUAAAACCAUAUACGGAAGUGGAGAUAGUGCAGAAAUUGUUAAGCUCCAUGUCCUGUGCCAUAUCCCGCUAUAAUUAUGUUCGCUAAUCCACUCCCAUUAGUUACAACACUUGAUAUAGGGGAACGAGAUUUUGAUGUUUUGAACUCGUGGAAGACAAUUCACGCUUCAACUAUAAUGACGAAAGGUGC
RNAcentral lists this long non-coding RNA (1075 nucleotides) under Nicotiana tabacum (common tobacco). RNAcentral describes it as "long non-coding RNA (NTAB_LNC008271)". The record is from RNAcentral. Lineage: Eukaryota; Viridiplantae; Streptophyta; Magnoliopsida; Solanales; Solanaceae.